This 3334-nucleotide long non-coding RNA is filed under the name Homo sapiens (human). RNAcentral describes it as "HSALNT0366563". The record is from RNAcentral. Lineage: Eukaryota; Metazoa; Chordata; Mammalia; Primates; Hominidae.
UGUCAAAGAAAAACAGAGAAGGAAGGAAAGAAGGAAGGAAGGAAGGCAGGCAGGCAGGCAGGCCUCUAUGAGAAACAUAGUUCCCUGGCCAGCCUCUAGCUGCUGUUUUUUUUGUGGGGGAGUGGGGAUGGAGUCUCACUCUGUUGCCCAGGUUGAAGUGCAGUGGUACAAUCUCAGCUCACUGCAACCUCUGCCUGCCAGGUUCAAGCGAUUCUCCUGCUUCAGCCUCCUGAGUAGCUGGGGUUACAAGCAUGAACCACCAUGUUUGGCUAAUUUUUUCUUUUUCUUUCUUUCUUUCUUUCUUUCUUUCUUUCUUUCUUUCUUUCUUUUUUUUUUGAGACAGAUUCUUGCUCCGUAGCCCGAGCUAGAGUGCAGUGGUGCAAUCUUGGCUCAUUACAACCUCCGUCUCCCAGGUUCAAGUGAUUCUCCUGCCUCAGCCUCCUGAGUAGCUGGGACUACAGUGGCGAGCCACCAUGCCCAGCUAGUUUUUGUAUUUUUAGUAGAGACGGGGUUUCACUGUGUUGGUCAGGCUGGUCUCGAACUCCUGACCUCAGGUGAUCUGCCUGCAUCGGCCUCCCAAAGUGCUGGGAUUACAGGCAUGAGCCACUGUGCCCGGCCACGCCUGGCUAAUUUUUUGUAUUUUUAGUAGAGAAAGGGUUUCACCAUGUUGGCUAGUCUGGUUUCAAACUCCUGACCUCAAGUGAUUUGCCUGCCUUGGGCUCUCAAAGUGCUAGGAUUACAGGUGUGAGCCAUCAUGCCCAGCCAGCUGCCAUUUUUGGAUCCACCUCAGUUCUCACACUGAGGCCACUUUCUGGUUUACUUCCACUCAAUGACUGCACACAGUAGGGGUACUAAGUGUGAGGUACAUAAUACACAGCCACUGAUUUAGUAAAUGCAUUUUUUCCCCUACUUCUAUCAGGAAAGAGACUAGAAAUAGUUCACAUCCAUGUGGGACGACAAUAUUUACUCAGUUUUGCCCCAAGAAUAAUAUUUGCUCCUUUGAUGAUAAAAUGUGAAUUAUAGGCUGUUAUAGUUUGGAUAUUUGUCCCCACCCACAUCUCAUGUUGAAUUGUAAUCCCCAGUGCUGAAUGUGGGGCCUGCCCAGAGGUGUUUGGAUCAUGGGGGUGGAUCCCUCAUAGCUUGGUACUGUCUUUUCAGUUCUCUCGAGAUCUAGUCAUUUAAAAGUGUGUAGCAUCUGCCCCCUGACCUUGUUCCUGCUUUCACCAUGUGAUGUGCCUGCUUCCCCUUUGCCUUCUGCCACGAUUGGAAGUUUCCUGAGGCCUCCCCAGAAGCAGAUGCUGCUAUGCUUCCUGUACAGCCUGUAGAACCAUGAGCCAAUUAAACCUCUUUUCUUAUAAAUUACCCAGUCUCAGCUAUUUCUGUAUAGCAAUCUAAGAGAAAAUUGGCACCGGGGUGGGGAAUUACUAUAAAGAUACCUGAAAAUGUGGAAGUCAUUUUGGAACUAUGUAACAGGCAGAGGCUGAAAGAGUUUGGAAGGCUCAGAAAAAGACAGGAAGAUGAGGGAAGGUUUAAAACUUCUUAGAGACUGGUUAAAUUGUUGUGACCAAAAUGCUGAUAGUGAUAUGGACAGCGAGAUCCAAGCUGCUGAGUCUCAGAUGGAAAUGAUGAAGAAAGUUGGAGCUUACAUUUAAAAGGGAAGCAGAAUAUAAAAGUUUGGAAAUUUUGUAGUCUGCCCAUGUGGCAAAGAAAGAAAAAGCUUUCUCAAAAGAGGGAUACAAGCAGGCUGUGGAGCAACCACUUGCUAGAGAUAUUUGCGUAAUUAAAAAGGAGUGAGGCCGGGCGCGGUGGUUCACCCCUGUAAUCCCAGCACUUUGGGAGGCCGAGGCUGGCGGAUCAUGAGGUCAGGAGAUAGCGACCAUCCUGGCUAACACGGUGAAACCCCAUCUCUACUAAAAAUACAAAAAAUUAACCAGGUUCAGUGGCGGGUGCCUGUAGUCCCAGCUACUCGGGAGUCUGGGGCAGGAGAAUGGUAUGAACCUGGGAGGCGGAGCUUGCAGUGAGCCGAGAUCGCGCCACUGCACUCCGGCCUGGGCAAAAGAGCGAGACUCCGUCUAAAAAAAAAAGGAGCCAGUGCUAAUGUGUCUGGAAUUGGUGGGUUCUUGGUCACACUGACUUCAAGAAUGAAACUGCGGACCCUUGCGGUGAGUGUUACAGCUCUUAAGGUGGUGUGUCUGGAGUUUGUUCCUUCUGAUGUUCGGAUGUGUUCGGAGUUUCUUCCUUCUGGUGGGUUCGUGGUCUCGCUGGCUCAGGAGUGAAGCUGCAGACCUUUGCGGUGAGUGUUACAGCUCUUAAGGCGGCACAUCUGGAGUUGUUCGUUCCUCCCGGCGGGCUCGUGGUCUCGCUGGCUUCAGGAGUGAAGCUGCAGGCCUUCGUGGUGAGUGUUACAGCUCAUAAAAGCAGCAUGGACCCAAAGAGUGAGCAGUAGCAAGAUUUAUUGCAAAGAGCAAAAGAACAAAGCUUCCACAGUGUGGAAGGGGACCCAAGCGGGUUGCCACUGCUGGCUGGGGCAGCCUGGUUUCAUUCUCUUAUCUGGCCCCACCCACGUCCUGCUGAUUGGUAGAGCCCAGUGGUCUGUUUUGACAGGGCGCUGAUUGGUGCGUUUACAAUCCCUGAGCUGGAUACAAAGGUUCUCCAAGGCCCCACCAGAGCAGAUAGAUACAGAGUGUCCAUUGGUGCACUCACAAACCCUGAGCUAGACACAGGGUGCUGAUUGGUGUGUUUACAAACCUUGAGCUAGAUACAGAGUGCCGAUUGGUGUAUUUACAAUCCCUGAGCUAGACAUAAAGGUUCUUCACGGCCCCACCAGAGCAGCUAGAUACAGAGUGUCAAUUGGUGCACUCACAAACCCUGAGCUAGACACAGGGUGCUGACUGGUGUGUUUACAAACCUUGAGCUAGAUACAGAGUGCCGAUUGGUGUAUUUAUGUCUAGCUCAGGGAUUGUAAAGGUUCUUCACGGCCCCACCAGAGCAGCUAGAUACAGAGUGUCAAUUGGUGCACUCACAAACCCUGAGCUAGACACAGGGUGCUGACUGGUGUGUUUACAAACCUUGAGCUAGAUACAGAGUGCCGAUUGGUGUAUUUAUGUCUAGCUCAGGGAUUGUAAAGGUUCUCCAAAGCCCCACCAGAUUCAGGAGCCCAGCUGGCUUCACCCGGUGAAUCCCGCACCGGGGCUGCAGGUGGAGCUGCCUGCCAGUCCCCUGCGUGCGCCCGCACUCCUCAGCCCUUGGGUGGUCGAUGGGACUGGGUGCCGUGGAGCAGGGGGUGGCCCUCGUCGAGGAGACUCGGGCUGCACAGGAGCCCAUGGAGGGGGUG